AUGAACGCUGGCGGCGUGCUUAACCCAUGCCAGUCGCACGAUGAAGCCCAGCUUGCUGGGUGGAUUAGUGGCGAACGGGUGAGUAACACGUGAGUAACCUGCCCUUAACUCUGGGAUAAGCCUGGGAAACUGGGUCUAAUACCGGAUAGGAGCGUCCACCGCAUGGUGGGUGUUGGAAAGAUUUAUCGGUUUUGGAUGGACUCGCGGCCUAUCAGCUUGUUGGUGAGGUAAUGGCUCACCAAGGCGACGACGGGUAGCCGGCCUGAGAGGGUGACCGGCCACACUGGGACUGAGACACGGCCCAGACUCCUACGGGAGGCAGCAGUGGGGAAUAUUGCACAAUGGGCGCAAGCCUGAUGCAGCGACGCCGCGUGAGGGAUGACGGCCUUCGGGUUGUAAACCUCUUUCAGUAGGGAAGAAGCGAAAGUGACGGUACCUGCAGAAGAAGCACCGGCUAACUACGUG
This 465-nucleotide ribosomal RNA is filed under the name uncultured bacterium. RNAcentral describes it as "partial 16S ribosomal RNA". It matches the Rfam family "Bacterial small subunit ribosomal RNA", at positions 29 to 507 of the family's 1533-position model. The record is from RNAcentral.